GACGAACGCUGGCGGCGUGCUUAACACAUGCAAGUCGAACGGAAAGGCCCUGCUUUUGUGGGGUGCUCGAGUGGCGAACGGGUGAGUAACACGUGAGUAACCUGCCCUUGACUUUGGGAUAACUUCAGGAAACUGGGGCUAAUACCGGAUAGGAGCUCCUGCUGCAUGGUGGGGGUUGGAAAGUUUCGGCGGUUGGGGAUGGACUGGCGGCUUAUCAGCUUGUUGGUGGGGUUGUGGCUUACCAAGGCUUUGACGGGUAGCCGGCCUGAGAGGGUGACCGGCGACAUUGGGACUGAGAGACGGCCCAGACUCCUACGGGAGGCAGCAGUGGGGAAUAUUGCACAAUGGGCGGAAGCCUGAUGCAGCAACGCCGCGUGCGGGAUGACGGCCUUCGGGUGGUAAACCGCUUUCGCCUGUGACGAAGCGUGAGUGACGGUAAUGGGUAAAGAAGCACCGGCUAACUACGUG
Molecule: ribosomal RNA, 468 nt
Filed under: uncultured bacterium
Lineage: Bacteria
Description: partial 16S ribosomal RNA
Rfam family: Bacterial small subunit ribosomal RNA
Source: RNAcentral